GAUUCAAGUGUCUGCCGAAGGGCAGGUGAAAAGGGAAACCGGUGGAAAUCCGGUGCAACAGCCAUUACUGUGAGCGGUGAAAAGAGGUGCCGUGCCAUUGAACGGAAGUUUGAGAAGGCGAGCCGAAUCCGAAAAGGACCGUAAGUCAGGAGACCUGCUUGAAAU
This 165-nucleotide non-coding RNA is filed under the name chicken gut metagenome. The record is from RNAcentral.